AGUGAACGCUGGCGGUAGGCCUAACACAUGCGAGUCGAACGGCCGCACAGUAAGAGCUUGCUCUUACGGGUGGCGAGUGGCGGACGGGUGAGGAAUACAUCGGAAUCUACUUUUUCGGGGGGGAUAACGUAGGGAAACUUACGCUAAUACCGCAUACGACCUACGGGUGAAAGCAGGGGAUCUUCGGACCUUGCGCGAUUGAAUGAGCCGAUGUCGGAUUAGCUAGUUGGCGGGGUAAAGGCCCACCAAGGCGACGAUCCGUAGCUGGUCUGAGAGGAUGAUCAGCCACACUGGAACUGAGACACGGUCCAGACUCCUACGGGAGGCAGCAGUGGGGAAUAUUGGACAAUGGGCGCAAGCCUGAUCCAGCCAUACCGCGUGGGUGAAGAAGGCCUUCGGGUUGUAAAGCCCUUUUGUUGGGAAAGAAAAGCAGCAGGUUAAUACCCCGCUGUUCUGACGGUACCCAAAGAAUAAGCACCGGCUAACUUCGUG
Molecule: ribosomal RNA, 492 nt
Filed under: uncultured bacterium
Lineage: Bacteria
Description: partial 16S ribosomal RNA
Rfam family: Bacterial small subunit ribosomal RNA
Source: RNAcentral